UCCUACGGGGGGCAGCAGUGGGGGAUAUUGCACAAUGGGGGAAACCCUGAUGCAGCGACGCCGCGUGAGUGAAGAAGUAUUUCGGUAUGUAAAGCUCUAUCGGCAGGGAAGAAAAAAAUGACAGUACCUGACUAAGAAGCCCCGGCUAACUACGUGCCAGCAGCCGCGGUAAUACGUAGGGGGCAAGCGUUAUCCGGAAUCACUGGGGGUAAAGGGAGCGUAGACGGCUGAGCAAGCCUGAAGUGAAAGGCGGGGGCCCAACCCCCGGACUGCUUUGGGA
RNAcentral lists this ribosomal RNA (280 nucleotides) under uncultured bacterium. RNAcentral's name for it is "partial 16S ribosomal RNA". It matches the Rfam family "Bacterial small subunit ribosomal RNA", at positions 337 to 631 of the family's 1533-position model. The record is from RNAcentral.